Molecule: ribosomal RNA, 396 nt
Filed under: uncultured bacterium
Lineage: Bacteria
Description: bacterial SSU rRNA
Rfam family: Bacterial small subunit ribosomal RNA
Source: RNAcentral
UGGGGAAUUUUGGACAAUGGGCGCAAGCCUGAUCCAGCCAUUCCGCGUGCAGGAUGAAGGCCUUCGGGUUGUAAACUGCUUUUGUACGGAACGAAACGGUUCUCUCUAAUACAGGGGGCUAAUGACGGUACCGUAAGAAUAAGCACCGGCUAACUACGUGCCAGCAGCCGCGGUAAUACGUAGGGUGCAAGCGUUAAUCGGAAUUACUGGGCGUAAAGCGUGCGCAGGCGGUUUUGUAAGACAGAGAUGAAAUCCCCGGGCUCAACCUGGGAACUGCCUUUGUGACUGCAAGGCUGGAGUACGGCAGAGGGGGAUGGAAUUCCGCGUGUAGCAGUGAAAUGCGUAGAUAUGCGGAGGAACACCGAUGGCGAAGGCAAUCCCCUGGGCCUGUACUGA